This 718-nucleotide long non-coding RNA is filed under the name Sinocyclocheilus grahami. RNAcentral's name for it is "lncRNA (ENSSGRG00000034585.1)". The record is from RNAcentral. Lineage: Eukaryota; Metazoa; Chordata; Actinopteri; Cypriniformes; Cyprinidae.
CGAAAGAUUGUAUUCCCAACCUGCUCAGAACAAUCAAUUCAGCAGCGCCGGGAAUCAUGACCAGAAUCCAGUGUUGAUCCCCAAGCUGGCGAAACUUAAACCUGUGGACAUGAAUAAAGGCGCAGGCUCCAGGCCACUCAUGGUCAAACCCAACUUCAUGGUUAACUCUAUGGAGGCUAGAUUCAAUCCUCCAGUUUCGAACAACAAGACCAGUGGUGACUCGAGAUGUGAUGCUGUAGGAGUGAAGCUGCCCAAUAGAGGAAACCAGGAGAACGCUUUUACACAAGCCCCCACUGGAGCCGGAUUCCAGAUUCCUGCCAAACUGCCUAUUAUACAGAAACCUGUUCUCCAUGAAAAGAUCUCUGCAGCACCGGGAACCGCUACUGGUGAUUUGUCAGUGCCAAAAAAGAAGUCUCUUCCCAGUGUGUUUGCUUUAGGAAAAUGUCCUGCUAAACCACAGAGACCUCCACAUGUUAACCUCAACAAGUUCAGAGGGAACGUAUCCAACACCAGCAACCCUGAGGAACAUUUCUCCCUCCGACCCCCACCACCUCCAGAACGCCUGUCAAUCACAUCUGUGACUCCACCCCCACCCCCACCCUUCACAUUUCCACCUGCUCCCCCUCCAGUGGAUGAGGAGGGUUAUUACGAUGAUACGGACAUCAUGAGCCGGAUGGAGACUUCACUAGGUGCCGUUCACAGAGAAGUUAUUUAAUAU